CUGUGAAAAUGGUUUUCUAUUACACAAACUCCAAGGUGGAUUCGGCUCUCGAAAAAAUUUCGGGAAACCAAAAACAGCAUUCGAAUUUUCACAUCAGUCAUACAUUAAAUUUGGAUGUUAUUAUAAAAUUGGCGGAAAUUGUAUUGGCUUUGGUAUUCUGCUUAAUUGUGCUAUAUUUUUGUAUUAAAAGGAUCAAUCGUAACAAAAUUAAACGUGAAAAUGUGACAAAACUUAUUCAAUACAAUCAUGUGCUACCGAAGCUGCAUCAACAAGAAAAGGAUAAAAUCAAUUCGUUUGAAAAUAAAUACCCUACAUUUAUAAAUUUAUCAAACCCAAACGUCGAUGUAAAAGGCUCAGCGGAAAAACAUUUGACAACACAUAUUCAGCACAAACCUGAGCCACCGAAGCUGCAUCAACAAGAAAAGGGCAAAAUCAAUUCGCUUGAAAAAGAUCAAGCAACAAUUAUAGAUUUAUCCAACCCAGACGUCGAUGUAAAAGGCUUCACCGAAAUACUUGGUGACCCCGCUGUAAUUGAUGAUGUUAGACUAUAUUUAGCAUUCCUUAAAGAUCAACCCUCGUACGUCUGUUAUGACGGAAACACUUUGGCGAACAUCAAACUACGUCUGGUGGCCCACGGACUUCCGAUAUCUUCCGAGCUACUGUUGCGCAUAUUCAUUUCGUACCACACAUCCUUGGGAAACUCUGAAUCCGAAGCUCUAAACGAUCUUAAUGCUUUUAGACGCCACGCUGUCGACAAAAGAAUGUGUCAGUUGCAGAUGGUGCGUGAAGGUCGGCGCAACUUUUACUCUUGAGGAAAUUCUGGAAACUACGCAAAAAAUACAACAUUCAAACCGCCUUCAAUCAUAUGGAAGCUCAAUCGUUUAUGUCAUCAGAAAAUCAACCAGGAGCGUGCAGGGAUGCCCAGUUUGCUACAGAUAAACUUAGAUGGUUAGAUUUAUUUCUUGAAUGGAUGGGACACAAUGCCUAUAACUAUUAAUAAUCGGUUAACAAUGUUCAUGAAAUUUUCAACGACGUAAUGUUUCAUAAAUAUCAAAAAAGUAACUUUUUCGCAGAAUGAACACGGUCAAACAUUUGCAAAAAUAAAUCAGACAUCUUGCAAUUCAAUUGUACAUCUCACUACUAUACUCACCUAUACAGAAACACAUUGCUUUUAUUUAAGCCAUAUUGAGUUAGCUGUUGAUUGGCUAAAUUGACUGGUACGUGUCAGAAAUAUAUUAGUUAGCACAUAAGUUGGUUUUGAGUAUGCAUUUGAAGAAAUUUCGAAGAGCACAGAGCUUUAGGAUGGUUAUGAAGUGCUACAAUGUUUGUUGCCCAUGAUAAAUCCAUCACGUACAACCAGAAAAUAUGAACAACUUUACUACGCUACCAACAUCGUAAGAAUGCCUAAGAAUAUAUUGCAUGCAAUUUCUCCAAGGACCAAGGAUCCUGUGCUUACCGAAUAAAAAAAACUCCCGGUAAAACUCAAAAAUGUAACUCAGUAGAACUAAUGCCCUCCUUGGUGCCGUCACGGUAAUAAUAUAUUAUCUAAAAUAUUUAACGAUAAACGAUGUAACCAAAGAAAAUACUAAUGACCACCAAUAUAAAACGAUAAAAUCUGGAGAUAUUGGGACAACAUUUGUACUCCUGUUCAAAACAUAAUCAACAUAAAACUCUAAUUUACUCCUCUCACAAAGAGUAUGUUCCUUUCUCUCACUCUUAUGACGUCACUCUUAAAGCAUCACUCGCAGCUUAAUGGACCGGAUCGUUCGUUAAUAGGCCAAAUUGUCUGGUUUGUGUUGGUGACAGUUUGGUCAACCCGCACUUUGUAGUUGUACUAGUCUUAAUUUUGAUCAAUUUCACGAGGGAACCAUUCAGUGUAGAACGAACUAGUGAUCCGGGAAGAUGGGUAACUUAUUCACCACCACUGAAGUUCCGAAAAAGUCAAUUCAUAAAGCUCUUAAAAACAUUACGGAUAAGCAAGAUGAACAUACGGAUUUUCAUUUCAAACAUGAAGCAAAUCUUCAUACAGCGAUCAUAUUGCUGUUAGCUUUGCUGACUUUGAUAUGCUGCAUCGCUGGGUAUUUUAUAAUUAAGUGGCGUAAGCGCCAUAGCAAACGUAAUCGUGAAAAUGUGCCAGACAUUAUUCAACACAAUGCUAUGCAGCCUGUGUUAUUAAAACUGCUUCAACAAGAACUGUGUGAAAAGGCCACAUUAAAACUGCAGCAACAAGCACUGUGUGAAAAUGCAACAGUCAUACAAGUAGCCAAUCAAGACGAUUUAAAAAGGACGGGCGGAUAAAAUUUCAUCUAUUAUCACAUGCCACUUGGAAACUCGGAAUUCAACCCUCUAUUCGAUCUGGACGCAUUGAAACAACAAAAUUGCGAAACAGCUGUUCUUUCCCAAACGAAUUAGGAAAUAAAAGAAGCUGAUAAAAUGUUUACCUCACAGUAAAACAUAAUACAUUCAAUCGUGACCACGCCCAGUUCAUUCAUCUCCUCAGUUUUGUAAACCAUAAAACUGUACGCUGACUAAAUACUUGGCAAAAGUGCCAAACUGAAUGCCGUUGGAACCUGCCGAGGAAGCAUCGCUGACUGAAGUUUUAUACAGGAGUACAUAUUGUCCCAUAGUUGGUUAAAAAUAUAUCAAUUGUAUUGAAAUUUGGCUAUAAUAACGUGCUACACGUGUUACAAGAUAGCACACGAGCGACGACAAAUUGUUGCAUGCAAAUGCGUAUCAUUUAGCACUUUUAGAGCCUUUCGACUAUGUCACUCGUCAUUCGCCAAUAUCAAAUUAUUAGAAUAAAAUACCUAUAAUUUCAUGCUUGAAUCAGAAAUAAAUCGUAAAAAAAUAACACAAUUAACUACUCCAUUGAAUCUAAAAUAAAUCUGAAAAAAUCGGAAUUUCGACUCCAUUAAAGUCACCAUCCCAAUUAUAAAGCUAUUCCGGACACACUCUGAAAAUUUUAUAAAGAUUGGUUGAAAACAUCAAAAGUUGCGAUUUGUCUAGCAUUGACGUCAUCCUAUACAGUGUCAAAAAUGCGCAACAAAGCAAAAAUCACAAAGCAA
This is a long non-coding RNA of Culex pipiens pallens (northern house mosquito), 3065 nucleotides long. RefSeq lists it as uncharacterized. The record is from RefSeq and is a predicted model, not a curated record. The transcript has 3 exons. Lineage: Eukaryota; Metazoa; Arthropoda; Insecta; Diptera; Culicidae.